UGCAUAUCCAAAAAGCGGAGGAAAAGAAACUAACAAGGAUUCCCCUAGUAACUGCGAGUGAAGCGGGAAAAGCUCAAAUUUAAAAUCUGGUGGUCUUUGGCCAUCCGAGUUGUAAUCUAGAGAAGUGUUAUCCGCGCUGGACCGUGUACAAGUCCCCUGGAAUGGGGCGUCAUAGAGGGUGAGAAUCCCGUCUUUGACACGGACUACCAGGGCUUUGUGAUGCACUCUCAAAGAGUCGAGUUGUUUGGGAAUGCAGCUCAAAAUGGGUGGUAAAUUCCAUCUAAAGCUAAAUAUUGGCGAGAGACCGAUAGCGAACAAGUACCGUGAGGGAAAGAUGAAAAGAACUUUGGAAAGAGAGUUAAACAGUACGUGAAAUUGUUGAAAGGGAAACGCUUGAAGUCAGUCGCGUCUGCCAGGGAUCAACCUUACUUUUGUGAGGCGUACUUCCUGGUUGAUGGGUCAGCAUCAGUUUUGGUCGCUGGAUAAAGGUCAGAGAAAUGUGGCACCUUCGGGUGUGUUAUAGUCUUUGAUCAGAUACAGUGGCUGGGACUGAGGAACUCAGCGCCGCAAGGCUGUCUUAGGAUGCUGGCAAAAUGGCUUUAAUCGACCCGUCUUGAAACACGGACCAAAGGAGUC
This 636-nucleotide ribosomal RNA is filed under the name Pleurotus columbinus. RNAcentral's name for it is "LSU rRNA". It matches the Rfam family "Eukaryotic large subunit ribosomal RNA", at positions 37 to 675 of the family's 3401-position model. The record is from RNAcentral. Lineage: Eukaryota; Fungi; Basidiomycota; Agaricomycetes; Agaricales; Pleurotaceae.